UCUCGUUCUCAUUGCGAGAUGAGGCGCACCUAGAGCGUACACGUUGGGKARVACCCGAAAGAUGGUGAACUAUGCCUGGUCAGGACGAAGUCAGGGGAAACCCUGAUGGAGGUCCGUAGCGAUUCUGACGUGCAAAUCGAUCGUCGGAGCUGGGUAUAGGGGCGAAAGACUAAUCGAACCAUCUAGUAGCUGGUUCCCUCCGAAGUUUCCCUCAGGAUAGCUGGCACUCUAUGAACAAAGAUUAAGAGGUUAGUCUCAUAUGGUAAAGCGAAUGAUUAGAGGCCUUGGGGCCGAAACGACCUCAACCUAUUCUCAAACUUUAAAUGU
Molecule: ribosomal RNA, 327 nt
Filed under: Galloisiana sp. GB13.1
Lineage: Eukaryota; Metazoa; Arthropoda; Insecta; Grylloblattodea; Grylloblattidae
Description: eukaryotic LSU rRNA
Rfam family: Eukaryotic large subunit ribosomal RNA
Source: RNAcentral